RNAcentral lists this ribosomal RNA (710 nucleotides) under Allomuricauda sp. RNAcentral's name for it is "bacterial SSU rRNA". It matches the Rfam family "Bacterial small subunit ribosomal RNA", at positions 40 to 752 of the family's 1533-position model. The record is from RNAcentral. Lineage: Bacteria; Pseudomonadati; Bacteroidota; Flavobacteriia; Flavobacteriales; Flavobacteriaceae.
GGGCGGGCUACACAUGCAGUCGAGGGGUAGGGGGUGCUUGCACCCCUGAGACCGGCGCACGGGUGCGGAACGCGUAUGGAACCUGCCCCUGUCAGGGGAAUAGCCCAGGGAAACUUGGAUUAAUGCCCCAUGGUAUCAUUACAUCGCAUGAUGUUGUGAUUAAAGAUUUAUCGGACAGGGAUGGCCAUGCGUACCAUUAGCUUGAUGGUGGGGUAACGGCCCACCAUGGCAACGAUGGUUAGGGGCCCUGAGAGGGGGAUCCCCCACACUGGUACUGAGACACGGACCAGACUCCUACGGGAGGCAGCAGUGAGGAAUAUUGGACAAUGGUCGGAAGACUGAUCCAGCCAUGCCGCGUGCAGGAUGACGGCCCUAUGGGUUGUAAACUGCUUUUAUACGGGAAGAAACCCACCUACGUGUAGGUGGCUGACGGUACCGUAAGAAUAAGGACCGGCUAACUCCGUGCCAGCAGCCGCGGUAAUACGGAGGGUCCGAGCGUUAUCCGGAAUCAUUGGGUUUAAAGGGUCCGUAGGCGGGCCUGUAAGUCAGGGGUGAAAGUUUGUGGCUCAACCAUAAAAUUGCCUUUGAUACUGCAGGUCUUGAGUCAUGGUGGGGUUGCCGGAACAUGUGGUGUAGCGGUGAAAUGCAUAGAUAUCACAUAGAACACCGAUCGCGAAGGCAGGUGACCAACCAUGUACUGACGCUGAUGG